Molecule: ribosomal RNA, 245 nt
Filed under: uncultured Chloroflexota bacterium
Lineage: Bacteria; Bacillati; Chloroflexota
Description: uncultured Chloroflexi bacterium partial 16S ribosomal RNA
Rfam family: Bacterial small subunit ribosomal RNA
Source: RNAcentral
UACGUAGGUGGCGAGCGUUAUCCGGAUUUAUUGGGCGUAAAGAGGGCGCAGGCGGCUUUUCAAGUCGAAUGUAAAAUCUCCCAGCUUAACUGGGAGGGACCAUUCGAUACUGUUGAGCUGGAGGGCAGCAGAGGGAGGUGGAAUUCCCGGUGUAGUGGUGAAAUGCGUAGAUAUCGGGAGGAACACCAGUGGCGAAGGCGGCCUCCUGGGCUGUACCUGACGCUGAGGCCCGAAAGCGUGGGGAG